ACGGCGAGUGAAGCGGCAACAGCUCAAAUUUGAAAUCUGGCCUCUUCGGGGUCCGAGUUGUAAUUUGUAGAGAGUGCUUCGGGCGCGACCGCGGUCUAAGUCCAUUGGAACAUGGUGUCACAGAGGGUGAGAAUCCCGUAUGUGACUGUGGCUCAAGCCCGUGUGAAGCCUCUUCGACGAGUCGAGUUGUUUGGGAAUGCAGCUCAAAAUGGGUGGUAAAUUUCAUCUAAAGCUAAAUACUGGCUGGAGACCGAUAGCGCACAAGUAGAGUGAUCGAAAGAUGAAAAGCACUUUGGAAAGAGAGUCAAACAGUACGUGAAAUUGUUGAAAGGGAAGCGCUUGCAACCAGACCUGUCCGUAGGUGAUCAGCCGCUGUUCUCAGUGGUGCACUCGCUCUGCGAUCAGGCCAGCAUCGGUUCGGGCGGCCGGAUAAAGGCCGCGGGAAUGUAGCUCCCUCCGGGGAGUCUUAUAGCCCGCGGUGCAAUGCGGCCCGCCGGGACCGAGGACCGCGCUUCGGCUAGGAUGCUGGCGUAAUGGUUGUAAGCGACCCGUCUUGAAACACGGACCAAGGAGUCUAACAUCGACGCGAGUGUUUGGGUGUCAAACCCAUGCGCGGAAUGAAAGUGAACGGAGGUGAGACCCCUCAAGGGCGCAUCAUCGACCGAUCCAGAUGUCUUCGGAUGGAUUUGAGUAUGAGCAUCGAUGUUGGGACCCGAAAGGCACGUUCCCCCCCUUCCGUUAUCGUAUCGAACAUAAGCUAACAUGUGCAACAGACAGUGAACUAUGCCUGAAUAGGGUGAAGCCAGAGGAAACUCUGGUGGAGGCUCGCAGCGGUUCUGACGUGCAAAUCGAUCGUCAAAUUUGGGUAUA
RNAcentral lists this ribosomal RNA (870 nucleotides) under Nephromopsis laureri. RNAcentral describes it as "eukaryotic LSU rRNA". It matches the Rfam family "Eukaryotic large subunit ribosomal RNA", at positions 86 to 919 of the family's 3401-position model. The record is from RNAcentral. Lineage: Eukaryota; Fungi; Ascomycota; Lecanoromycetes; Lecanorales; Parmeliaceae.